UGGGGAAUAUUGCGCAAUGGGGGGAACCCUGACGCAGCCAUGCCGCGUGAAUGAAGAAGGCCUUCGGGUUGUAAAGUUCUUUCGGUAUUGAGGAAGGUUGAUGUGUUAAUAGCACAUCAAAUUGACGUUAAAUACAGAAGAAGCACCGGCUAACUCCGUGCCAGCAGCCGCGGUAAUACGGAGGGUGCGAGCGUUAAUCGGAAUAACUGGGCGUAAAGGGCACGCAGGCGGUUAUUUAAGUGAGGUGUGAAAGCCCCGGGCUUAACCUGGGAAUUGCAUUUCAGACUGGGUAACUAGAGUACUUUAGGGAGGGGUAGAAUUCCACGUGUAGCGGUGAAAUGCGUAGAGAUGUGGAGGAAUACCGAAGGCGAAGGCAGCCCCUUGGGAAUGUACUGACGCUCAUGUGCGAAAGCGUGGGGAGCAAACAGGAUUAGAUACCCUGGUAGCCCACGCUGUAAACGCUGUCGAUUUGGGGGUUGGGGUUUAACUCUGGCGCCCGUAGCUAACGUGAUAAAUCGACCGCCUGGGGAGUACGGCCGCAAGGUUA
RNAcentral lists this ribosomal RNA (547 nucleotides) under uncultured bacterium. Its description in RNAcentral is "bacterial SSU rRNA". It matches the Rfam family "Bacterial small subunit ribosomal RNA", at positions 355 to 896 of the family's 1533-position model. The record is from RNAcentral.